Molecule: ribosomal RNA, 492 nt
Filed under: uncultured bacterium
Lineage: Bacteria
Description: partial 16S ribosomal RNA
Rfam family: Bacterial small subunit ribosomal RNA
Source: RNAcentral
AGUGAACGCUGGCGGUAGGCCUAACACAUGCAAGUCGAACGGCAGCACAGUAAGAGCUUGCUCUUACGGGUGGCGAGUGGCGGACGGGUGAGGAAUACAUCGGAAUCUACUUUUUCGUGGGGGAUAACGUAGGGAAACUUACGCUAAUACCGCAUACGACCUACGGGUGAAAGCAGGGGAUCUUCGGACCUUGCGCGAUUGAAUGAGCCGAUGUCGGAUUAGCUAGUUGGCGGGGUAAAGGCCCACCAAGGCGACGAUCCGUAGCUGGUCUGAGAGGAUGAUCAGCCACACUGGAACUAAGACACGGUCCAGACUCCUACGGGAGGCAGCAGUGGGGAAUAUUGGACAACGGGCGCAAGCCUGAUCCAGCCAUACCGCGUGGGUGAAGAAGGCCUUCGGGUUGUAAAGCCCUUUUGUUGGGAAAGAAAAGCAGCAGGUUAAUACCCCGCUGUUCUGACGGUACCCAAAGAAUAAGCACCGGCUAACUUCGUG